Molecule: long non-coding RNA, 7987 nt
Filed under: Marmota monax (woodchuck)
Lineage: Eukaryota; Metazoa; Chordata; Mammalia; Rodentia; Sciuridae
Source: RNAcentral
AGGGCUACCCUGCAAUAGGCCAUAUUCAUACCAGAAAGACAGAUUACUAAACCCCAGUUAGGAUAUAUAAGUGAUACAGAUAUCUUUCAGUUCAUAAGAUUCUCAUUUUAUCUGUAGACACUAAAAAUUGUUGAACCAUCUCUAGGAAAUUUCCAGUUUCCAGGAAAGGAAGAUGCAGUCCUUCCUCUCAUUCUGUCUGUCUCCCUGGCUGUGGAGUCUGGAUGUGUUCAGGGGCUUUUCAAAUAUUUGACAAGGGCCCAAAUUCCCAUGAUUGUUCAAAGCAAAGGCCUUAUAGGAAUUGUGCCCUGUUCUCCUUAACCAUGCAAGGAUACUCCUAGGAAAUUUGUAUCAGCAUAAAGGGACAGUUAUGAAAAGAGUGUGAAGUGAUAGAUUCUUUAUUCAUUGGUAAAUUUUUCUAUGAUUUUGAUUCUCUUUUAUAUCAAGUGGAACUUACCUGAACUGUCAGUUAAAAAUGAGAAACAAUGCCACUAAAGCCUAGAGUAGUCAGCUCUUUGCUGCUCUGAAGACAAGAUCUGAUCAGAACGAUUUAAGGGGAGGAAAAAAGUUUCUUUGGGGGCUCACACGUUCAGAGGUCUCAGGCCAUUGAGAGCAGACUCCAUUCUUUGCAACCUCAGAAGAGGCUGAACAUCAUGGCAGGAGAGUGUGGCAGAGGGAAGUAGCUGACAUGAUCAUCAAGAAGCCAAGAAAGAGAUUUCCACUUUCCACCUACAGGUACACAGCCCACAGCCUUGACCCCCAAGACAGACCCUCUCCACCUGAACCCCACCUGCCUUCAGUUACCAGCCAACUGAUCCCAGCAGGUGAGGAGUUCACAGAUUGGGUGAAGGCUCUUGACACCCUAUUAACUUCUACUAUCCAAAGAUUCAAAGGAAUAUUAACAAGAAGAGAAAACAGCCUCCUCCACCCAACACUACACAGCAUGGUUGGAAAAUAUCCAACAGAACCACAAAAGGCUCUAAGGAUGUAUCCCAAGAGUUGUGACUGGAUGAAUAUGCUACAAAGAAGCCACCUUUGUCAAUACCUGCCAUGGCCACUCAGUCAAAUGAGAACAACUAAGAUAUUCCUGCACCAUCUCUUCCUAAUUUUCUCAAAGAAACAUCAAAUGGUACAAAUGCUAAACAGAGGAAAGGGAGAAAAGGCAGAUCCAAGGACCAGCUCUCUUUUGUCAUCAACUCUGGGUGGCCCAGCUCCCAUGGAAUUUGACUUGCCUGCUGAACAACCAGUAUUAGGCCACCUAAUUUGAUAUUCAGCCAGGGCCUGCCUCAGAAAGGUACUACAGAGCAAAUACAGGUGCAGGUUCUCCUUUGAUUUCAUGCCCUGGAAUAAUUGUGAGUAUCCUUUCUUCCUCAAGAAGAGGCAGAUAAUAGCCCACCCUCGGUGGACAGCUAACCCUGGAUACCAUACGUGGUAACAGAAAAAAAAAAGAAAGAAAAGAAAAGAAGAACAACAAAAAGGCUUACUGACCUUUGAUCCCUUCAGAUGAUCCAAUUUUCUGCAACCCAUACAAGGGAUCAUGCCAAGGACAUGGACUUUGCAGAUAUUCACUGUCCCCAAACCUCUCAACAUGCACUCCACUCCAAAAUCCUCUCACCCUGGUUUGGAUUCUUGUCAGGAAAAUGCCUGGGUGUGUAAACCCAUGCUGCGGGGAAAUGACUGCAGAGCAGGGGAAAGUCCGGCACUCAGAGUGGAAGCCUCCAGCAUCCAUCCACUUCCAAGUCAAAGGCCUGGAGAUUCUAGGUUCUGGUAGGAGAUUGCACUUGUUUGUGUCCCCUGUGGGUCUCUCUGGGCCUUGCGCACCAAGGGUCCCGCUUGGUGCUGCUGUGCCCUACUGGCCGCUCUCCAAAUAUCUUCCAGUGUCAGGGACAGGUGGACUGCCCGCGUAUUGACGUCAGCGUGCACGGGUCAGCAGAGGAGCUUUCAUUCCUGGCGGCAUCCCAGGAAGAUCCAACCCAAGCAGCAGCUCAGCGGUCAUGUUAGGAGGGGAGACCUUGGCACGGAACCCCAAGAAGGCAUGUUCUUUUCAACGCAUGCGGCCCCAACUUCUUCAGCCCCUGGAAGUGGAGCAUGGUUCUCCUGGUGGCCUGUCCAAGGUGCCCUCAGGGCAAUCCUGCUCCUUCCAGUGCCCUGGACCCAGCAGCUGUCACUGGCCUGCUGGCACGACCCUGCAGUACCGCUAGGCGGCGCCAUCCGCGGUUAGUCGCACCAGGCAGGCAGAGCGCCCUGCAAACCCUUAUCCCAGAGCCAGCACUGGGGGCUCCACAGGUGCAGCGAACCUGGGAGGGCUGGAGGGCUGGUGAGCACCAGGAGGACGCAAGGAUCAUCCCAGGUAGCACCAGCUCCAGCAGCCUUGCUCUCCUGUCCUGUUCCUCCAGGGCCUGACUCCACUGACAGUUGGCCCAGUCAGCGAACUGUCUUAGGUUCCUGGCGGCCCCAGGGAGCCGCUGCUGGGGACAGCUGAGGGCAAUUGUGCAUCCAAGGCAGCUCGGCAGGUUGGGGGAUCUUGGAGCUCAAGAACAUGCCACUAACUCUGUCUGGCUGCCCUUCCGUUCCUAGAAAACCAAUCUAGGAGAUUGAGAUCGCUGCACCCCGGGCAGAAUGUAGGUUAAGGGCAGGUGCAGGUGGGCCCCUUGUUUUCUAGGGAGGGCAGCAAGGGAGGGAGUCCCUGAACAUGGGUGUCAGAGGGAAGGAACAAGAGAGCAAGGGAGCUUCCAGGGCAGUGCACCAUCUGCACCAGCCACGCCCCACUAUGGCGACAGCGGCUGUAGCACCUUCAGCAGUAGCUGCUGCUGCUGCUGCUGCCAGGCACCAGGUCCAGUCCACAAAUACUUUGGGCCUGAAAGUCCAACAGUCCUUUCAAUUGUCCUGCAGAGGCAGAAAUAUCUAGUCAGUAGGGCUGAACCUGAGGGUUCUUCCUCUUGGCCUGCCUCUUGGCUCUCAGACAUAAAGCCCUCUGAGACAAUGCCGGGGGUUCUUGGGGCAACCCCUGGGUGAAGAGAUUGCACCAGAGUGUCACAGCCCCUGCCAAAAAGAUGCUUCACAAAGGUCUGUGGCAUGAGCGCAACAAGUGACCUGUAGGAACCUGAUCAUCAGGCUCAACCAUGGCUUCCCGUCGAUUUCACACAUCAGCCUUGAUAGAGGAGUGGAAAUGUAGACGUUUCUAAAGUUGGAUAUUAAAAAUGGGGAGAGCUCAACAUUUUUCUGUGGAGCCCUGAAUCCAGAAAGGAGUCGGGAAUGAGAGGAUGGUAUUUAUUUCACAGACACUGAAAGAAGUCGGUAUUGAUUUGCCUCUGACAAAUACCAGUAGCGUCAUCAGCUUCAAUAUACCAUCAGCAAGAAGUACAGGCAGAAGAUUCUGAAGCAAAAAUCAUAACAGAAAAGACAUUAACUUCCAUAGAAUAUAAGGCUCUCGCAAGUUCUGAGCCAUUCCUUCUUGAUUGCAGUGAAGAGCAGAUCACACAUGUGCUAAUGUUGCUUUUCUGGGAGAAGAUGUAAGAGGGAAGACUUUUCUGGAAGAAUAGGACCUUCACCUAACUUCCAAAUCAGAAAUCAACCAUUCUAUGAGUCAGCUUUUCAUCAUUUGAAUGAAAUACCUGAGGCAACUGACAUAUAAAGACAAAAUGUUUAUCUUAUGAUCUUCUAACCCAAGCACUAAGGAUCCUUUGUUUUGCUCCUGUAGAAAGGGAAGCACAACAUGAUGUAAGCACAUGGCAGAGCAAGCUGCUCUCCUCAUGAGCUAGGAAGCCCUGGAGCACAGGCCGGGCCUACAAUCUCCUCUGGGGGAAAUGAACAGUGACCUGAGAACUUCCCAUUACCCUGACCUCUCCAGACUUGCACCGCCUCCAAAUCACACUGCCCUGUUGAUCAAGCCUGUAACAUAUGUGCCUGGAGAGUCUUCAACAUCCCAACCAAACAAAGCUACCCUUCACUGAGUGCAGUUAAUCAUGAAGCCCUGUUCCUAGGGGAGAGAAAGUAAAUACCAUGGUGACAGUUUCCUACUCAUAGGUGUCUUCAACUCUAUGUACUUCAAUAUUCACUAUUAUGUUGUCAAAUGGAAAUCCUGGAGAAAGUUCUGGAGAUUUUUGUGAAAUUCUUUUCAUGAACUCAGAAAAGAAAGAUAGGACAUAAAAAUAAUUAUCAAAUUUAAUCAUUAAUUAAUAAUUAAAUGAACUUACUUAUUAAAUAAUUAUUAAAGCUUCAUAUAGAGAAUUUCAGAGAAGACUAUAAAAAAUUAGUGAAUUCCACAACUGCCUUCAUUAAGAUGAAGAACAGCGGUAGUUCUUCUAGAACGAAGACAAAUUUGCAACUGUGAUGCCAUAUGAAGAGGACUUCUUUUCACUUGAUAUGUUUUGUAUUAAUAUUCACUGUCCUGUGUUACUUUGUUACCUGGCAUUCCCUCUUAUUUGGAUUCAGACUUGCCCAAUGCUACCCUAGAGUAGGAAAUAUUCAUACCAGAAAUACAAAUCAAUAAACUCCAGGAAGUACAUGCAAAGGAUCCACAUAUCUUUCAGUUCAUAAGAUUUUCAUUUUAUCUACAGACAUGAACAAUCAUUGAAAUAUUUCUAUGAAAGUUCAUCUUUCCAGGGAAGGAAGAUGCAGUCCUUCCUGUGAUUGUCUGUCUCCCUACCUGUGGAGUCUGUGCCUGUUCGGGGGAUUUUCAAAUAUUUGACAAGGGCCAGAAUUCCUUUGAUUGUUUAAAGCUAAGUCAUUAUUCUAAGUGUGCCCAGUUUUCAAUAACCAUAUAAUAAUUCUCCUAGGAAAUUUGUAUCAUCAUAAAGGGACAGUUAUCAAAAGAGUGAUAAAUACUUUCUUAUUUGGUAAAUUUUUCUAUAAUUUUUUUCUUUAGUAUUAAAUUGAGCUUACCAAAACUGGAAGUUAAAAAUGAGUAACAAUACUAGUGAAGCCUAGAUUUGUCAGCUUUUUCACUACAGUGAAGACCCAAUCUGAUCAGAAUUAUCUUAGGGGAGCAAAGUUUAUUUGGGGGCUCAUGAGUUCAGAGGUCUCAGUCCAUAGAGAGCAGGCUCCAUUCUUUGGAACCUCAGGUGAGGCAGAACAUCAUGGCAGAAGAGUGUGGCAGAGGGAAGUAGCUGACAGAAUGAUCAAGGCAUGAAAUCAAUGCACUCCACUCAAAAAUCAUCUCACCCUAGUUUCAAUUCUUGUGAAGGAAGUGCUGAAGUAUUUGAACAAUACUCCCGUGAAAUGACUGCAGAGCAGGGGAAAGUCCAGCACACAGAAAGGAAGUGUCUCACAUCCAUCCACUUCGGAGUCAAAGGCCUGGAAAUCCUAGGCUCUGGCAGAAGAGUGCACUGGUUUGUGUUCUCCAUGGGACUUUCUGGGCUUUGCGUGCCAAGGGGUCCCCUUGGUGGCUGGUAUGCCAUCCUGGCUGCUCUUCAGAUACUUGCGGGUGUCACAGGACAGGCGGACUGACAGCCCAAUGACGUCACCACGUGCCAGUCAUCCUAGGGGCUUCCUGACCUGGUGGCAUCCCAGGAAGAUCCAACACAAGCGGCAGCUCAGUGGUCACGUUAGGAGGGGAGACCUUGGGACCGAACCCCUUGAGGGCAUGUUCUUUUCAACACAAGCGGCCCCAACUCCUUCAGCCCCUGCAAUUGCAGAGUGGUUCUGCUGGUGCCCUGUCUAAUGUGCCCUCUGGGCACUCCUGCUCCUUCCAGGGCCCUGGACCCAGCUGUCACUAACCUGCCAGCACCCUGCAGUACCGCUAGGCGGCGCUGCCUGCAGUUGGUCGCACCAGGCAGGCCUAGUGCCAGAACACCCUGCCUCCUGGCGCCAGCCCACUGUGGACUCUGCAGGUGCAGCGAACCUGGGAGGGCUGGAGGGCUGGCGAGCACUAGGAGGACGCGAGGACCAACACGGGUAGCACCAGCCCCAGCGGCAUUGCCCUCCCAUCCUGCUCCUCCAGGUCCUGGCCCCGCUGAAAGUUGGCCCAGUCAGCGAAUUUGCCUGGGUUCCCAGCAGCCCUAGGGAGUGGCCACUGUGGACACAUGAGGGCAGUGGAGCAUCCAAAGCAGCUGGGCGGGUUAUGGGAACUUUGAGCUCCACCACCUCCUACCACCAGGUGCCCCUCCAUUCCUAGAAAGCCAGUUCUGGAGAUCAUUGCAACCUGGGCAGAAUGAAGGCUAAGGGCAGGUGGGUGGAUCUGUUGCUUUUUAGUGAGGGCAGCAGGGAGAGAGUACCUGAACAUGGGCGACAGAGGGAAGGAGCAAGAGAGCAAGGGAGCUUCCAGCAUGGUGCACCCUCUGCACCAGCCAGGCCCACUUUGGCGGCUGCAGCUGCCAAAGUAUUGUUCAAAUACUUCACAUCAUUCACCUCUGAACAUUCCUCCAUUAACUCAAAUGAGCUUUUCAGGCACACCUAAUCUCCAAACCACCACAUGCCACGCCAUAAAAAAGGUUAUGUCCAUCUCAUUAAGAGUCCUCCUAAUCUUAACAGUUUUGGCAACAGGUUGCAGUCAGCCAGGGUCAGCUUGCUGCUAUGUAGAAAUGGCACCUAGGAGAUGCCUUGAUCUUCAGAUCUGGUCUUCUGGAAGGAGAGAUGCCAAGUCAUUGUCUAAAACUUUCAGAACUUUUAGGAACCCCUUCUGGAGAGAUGAUCACUGAAGUGCUGAGUUUUAAUUCUGAAGGAAACUUGGCAAAUAUGACCAGCCCAGCUGUGUUACACUCAGAGUUCCAAGCUGCCAGUUUUGGGUACUUGGAAGGGCACGGCACAGCCUCCAGAAAUUGCUCAGUCUCAUAGGUAUGCAUGUGCACUCCUGUGCCAUACACCCCGAAUGGGAGCAGCCCUUCUAGGCACAGCUUUUGCACUUGGUUGGUUGGUGUCAGAGGUGGUGAUGUGGAAGGUGAGACUCCCUUUAGCCAGAGCAUUGUUGUCUGGAAAAAGGAGAGGUUUGGCCCCAUCAAUGCCAGUUUUAACAAUUCAACAUGGUUAUUCUACAGGUGUGGUUGUGUUAGGGACCAAAUAUUCACAAUUGCUGAAGGAGAUAGAAGGGGCUGUGGCGAGGGCCAGGGGAAUUCUGUCCUGCAAAUCCAGAGCUGUCUGCCCCUUAAUCACCACACAAGCCCAAUUAGACCAUCUCCCUGAAGACUGGACCUCUCCACCUGAUCAGAGCACACCACACUCUGCUUCUCCAGCUCUGUCUAAACUCAGACAUUUUCUGGAAAAGGAAGUCAUAUUUAGAAACUUGUUAUCUUUCCAACAUACAUAAUACAUUUAAAAUUGUGGCAUGGACAGGAAAGUCAAUUGUCUCAUCAAUGUAUCGGACAGGACAACACAGACAAAAAGCACUAAAGUACUUGCACUAUUUAUUUUUGUGUAAUUUUAAAGCAAGGCUGGAGUUGUGGCUCAGUGGUGGAGCACUUGCCUAGCACAUGUGAGGCCCUGGGUUCGAUCCUCAACACCACAUAAAAAUAAGUGAAUAAAAUAAAGGUAUUGUGUCCAACUACAACUAAAAAAUAAAAACAUAAAAUUUAAAGCAAUGAAUUGUUCAAUUUUCUUUAAAAGUAGUCCAUGAUUUUAUAUAUCUUAAUUUUUCAAAAAUUUGUGGCUCAGUAUCUUUGGAUGCUCCAAGUGGCUAGUGACUUUCUGGCAUUCUGCAUGAAUGCCAAGUUCAAACAACAGUUUUAGAUAAAUUCAGAUACUUACACUCCAAAUCUAUGCCAACAUAUGCAUUUAAGAGUACAUUUAAUGGGGCUGGGGUUGUGGCUUAGCCUUAGAGCACGCACCUAGCAAGUGGAAGGUCUUGGGUUCGAUCCUCAGCACCACAUAAAAAUAAAUGAAAUAAAAGUAUUGUGUCCAACUACAACUAAAAAAUAAAUAUUUUUUUAAAAGAGUACAUUUAAUGAAUGUUCACAACACAAAAAUUGAUAAACUGAGUACAUAUGUUCAAACAUCUCACUGUAUGUAAUAAAUAUGUAUAAUUAUUUUGUGUCGAUUUUUAAAUGUUUCCAAAAAA